Molecule: ribosomal RNA, 253 nt
Filed under: uncultured bacterium
Lineage: Bacteria
Description: partial 16S ribosomal RNA
Rfam family: Bacterial small subunit ribosomal RNA
Source: RNAcentral
UACGGAGGGUGCAAGCGUUAAUCGGAAUUACUGGGCGUAAAGAGUGCGUAGGCGGUUAUUUAAGUCAGAUGUGAAAGCCCCGGGCUUAACCUGGGAACGGCAUUUGAUACUGGGUAACUCGAGUUUGGGAGAGGCAAGUGGAAUUUCAGGUGUAGCGGUGAAAUGCGUAGAGAUCUGAAGGAACACCAGUGGCGAAGGCGACUUGCUGGCCUAAAACUGACGCUGAGGCACGAAAGCAUGGGUAGCAAACAGG